CAAGGAUACCUAAUGACAAAGCAAUAGCAAGGAUACUAGACAUGCAUAUAUAUUGUGCUCUAACAGUACUGAAUAGGAUUAACUAUCCUGGUGCACGGCAGCCACAGCAGCAAAUAGUUGAAUAGGAUUAACUAACAUUACUGCAGCAAGGAUAAGUGAGCUGUUUGGCUUUUUUUUUUGUAUCAAGCAAUACAAACAAACAAUCAGUAUAAAUUGGAAUUUAUUUACUGCAAGGUACCCGGCAGCUACCAAUUUGCUUCCCAGAUAUAAAUGAAAUAUUUUUAACAAACAGUUCACUGCAGAACAAAACAGAGACCGAACUGAAGAGGAUACAAGCUAAGUAAGAACAGAAAAAGAGAUCAGCAAGCUGUAGUCAACAUAGGAAAUUGAUAGACUCUUUGAGUAGCAUACCUGAUGAGAAGUUAUGUCCUACACAGUAGCAUUCAAAUUGACAUUCAGAAAUGAACAGAUGCAUGUAGCAAAACAAAGUGUACAUAGUCCUACUAUCUCAGACUCUCACUUAAAACAAAGAGCACAUGUAUUGCAUAAUUACUUUUGCAAUGACCUCAUGCUCAGUGAAAUACCUUCAUGUCUCAUAUACACCAAGGUACCAAGUCAACUGCACAGUGCAAGAAACUAUAGCAACAAAUUGAACUAUUUCCUGAACUAUGCAAAUACUGAGAAAGCAAGUUAGCAGUUUUCUUAUUCUGCCAAAUACUAAACAGAUAUUGAAAUAAGUGGUUUUUGAAACUUACCGCCACAUAUUCUUCCCAUACAGCAUCACUAUCAACAGAUAUUUUAUUUUUGUUCCAAUCCCAACCAAAUCCACUUGAUUCCAGCAUACCAUUGAUGAUAGUGUAGUGUUUGUCAAAGGUCUUGUUCCUCGCCAUGAUAUUGUCUUUUGAGAUAUCCACAUUACACUUUUCUCGGACAUUCUUGAUAGCAGCUGUAUAGACAUGAGACUUCCACCCAUUCUGGCAUCUGUCACCCUUGUUAUAGUACUCCACAAAUGUGUCAAGAAGAGCCUUGUCCAUGUCAUCAUUCCAAGAAAUGUAACCCCUGCCCGAGCCUGACUUCUUGCCCUUCUCCAUAUCCUACAGGAAAAAUGUUCACAAAAGGUUAUUAGUAAAAUAUUAGGAGCACUAAAAUUUAUCAUACAUUUUAAGCAUGCAUUGAUGAUAGAAUUUAUCAUACAUUGACCACGUCUUGCUUGGUAAUCAGCAAACAUUUGGUUAGCUUUGGUAUCCCUAAAAUUGCUCCAUUCAUUUGUUGAUUGAACAUUGGUAAUCAUACCCACUUCACUUUGAACUUCAUGAGGUUCAAAAGAUAUUACUUGAUCAACUUGGUGUAUAAGUAAAUCAUCCAUAUCUCUCUGUCUAUCAAUUACAAAGUUGUGCAAUAUGCAGCAAGCAUUAAUGAUCCUAAUCUGCAAGAAUUUAGUAGAAAUGAGUUGCAUGCUAGCUAGGGUCAUUCAAAGAUGAAUUUCAAGCUAGGUUACUAACUACGGAAUACCUGAUUUUGCAAGUCAAAAUAUGAGUUGCUUCUUAGUAUAGCCCACCUCAUCUUCAAUAGCCCAAAUGUUCUCUCUAUCACAUUUCUAGCAGUUGAAUGGCGCAAAUUGAAUAGUUCUUUGGCAGUGGAUGGGUUAUGCCCUUGAGCAGCCCACUCAUUCAAGUGGUAGCGAGUGGAUCGAUAUGGAGCAAGAAAGCCCGGUCCAUUGGUGUAUCCCGCAUCUACUAGAUAGUAUUUCCCACUUGGAAUAACAAAUGCAUCGUCCCGAGACAUUGCAUCACGUAGCACACGUGAAUCUGAAGCUGAUCCUUCCCAUCCCGCUAAGACGUAAACAAAUUUCAUGUGACGAUCACAAACCCCUAAAAUAUUGGUGGUAAUCUGUUGCUUCCUAUUCCUAUACCUCCCUUGGUCAGCCAAAGGCACAAAAACGUCAAUGUGUGUACCAUCUAAUGCUCCAAGGCAAUCUUCAAACCACUUCCACUUGGAAUCCUCAGGUUGUACAGCUGAUGGAUCAGGAAGCUUGAUAAAUUCAUGGCAUAAUGAUAGAAUACCUCUAAGCACCUCAUUGAAGUGACGGCAGAUUGGCUCAAGUGACCAUCCAUAUGAGCUACGAAUCAUCCUCAUCUUAGUGCCAUGACCCACUACAAGCAAAAAGAUUGCUACCUUUUCUUCUACCGACACAUUCUUGUUAUCACACAUACCACAUCUCUCACGUAAGAUGGCACAUAGGUCAUAAAAUGAUCUCUUAGUUAGGCGCAAACUAUCAUAGCAAUAGACAUUUGAUCCUUGGUACAGAUUUCUUAGCAUUUGUUUGCGUGUAGCUACAUCUCUCUCAACCACUUCAUUCGGAUCAACAAUAUGUCUAGGUCUCUUACGCUGAUACCAGUGCACAAUCAUGCUCAUGACAGCAGAAACAAAUAAAGCAGCCACCCUUUUUCUCUUUUUCCUACUCAUCUCUCUCAUUUGCUCCAUGCUUGUAUUAACCAAGUCUAUGUUGUUGUCAGGCAUCUAAAGCACAUAUGCAAAAAGGAAUAUUUUAAUUUAUCAUCAAAAUGCUACACUAUUUUGGAUAAUCAGAAGACAAAAAAUAAUCAGAAUGCCUACCAAACUGAGAUAGAUGAGGACCGAGAUUUUAAUGCCUACCAGUCCAAAAAACAGAAUGCACUCAACAAGGUUCAUGGUCUUUAUAGAUUUCUAGUUUACAUCAACCAUAAUUUUCUAUAGACGAUGGACACUAGAGGUUGCUUCCCAUAAUUGACUUGGAUACAUUUUCACUCCCUUUCUUCCGUGAGCUAGCUGGUAAUAAAGGCAUUGACAUCAACUGGGGCUGGUACAUAUACACACAACACACAUGUGCGUAGCUAGCUAGCUGGUCAUGAAAGCGAUCGGUGACAAGUAAAAUUCAAUCAACACACAAGUUGAACAACCCUCAUUCAAACCUAGGCAAACAGCACAUCCAAGGCAAACAGCACAUCCAAUAUUAACAGGCACAUGUAAAUGGUGAUAAAACAGUUAUUUUUUAUCCAAGCCAAACAUCUUAACAGCAACAUCAGACAGUCAUUACUUGAAUUAUAUACACACAAGGUGCUCCAGGAACUACACAUCUUAGAGUCAACUGAACAAAUCAAUAUCCUAAUUCCUCCCAGACCUAGAACUAAUAACCUGUGAACUCAGAACCUCACUCCUAGCUACAAAGGGGAAAAAUGAAUUGCAGAGGAUGCCUUGCUGACUACUGAAACAAUAGAAACGAUAGAGAUGGCUACAUGCUCCUCUAAAAAGUGAGAAGAAACGAAGAAAGGCAACGAUCUGGUGAGUUAAGCCUGGACAGUCCAUGCAAUUCUAAUGGGGUGAACUCCAAAGGUGAUGAGUCUAACCAAUCAGCAUUUAUAUAACUGAAUCUUCAUGCAUACGAAUAUGACCAGGACGUCGUAUUCCACAGAAGAAGGCAUGCAGGAGCAAUAUGAUGCAACGAGGAAAUAUCAAACAUGAGAAUCAAAAUGUACCAGACUAUCAUAUCUGACAACCAUCAGAUUUUGGAGGUGACAUUUCAAAAGGACCAAAAACUAUGAUUUUUCAACUAAGGAUCCACUCGCUAAUCUUUGAACUUACAAUGUAUCAAUGCCUCAGCAUAUCAGUUCCUUGCACCCUUCUUGAAGCCGCCCAGCAACGCCUUAACCAGUAGCUAACAAAAGAGAAAAGGAUCUGAGACAGUGAAAUAAUUAUCCUUAAGUAACAGAUAAGUAGAUGGGAACUUAAACUAGGACAAAACUAAUAGCUGUGAUAGAAAUGCUAAGAUAAGUUGGUUCAACUGAUGCAUGACGCUUUCAGCUGGCACUCCAGAAUGAACAAACAAUCAUAUACUGUGCAUAGAUGUUUUACAAACUGUUCUAAAACAGGACAUGGUUUAGCAUAGUAAAUAUAGACAAAUUAAGACACUAGUGCAAGCAUUACAUGAAUAAUUGAACCUGGGUAUAAAUUCCAAUAACAUAUGUGACAAAAAUGAAUUAUUCCAAUAACAUAGUAAAAUGAAUUCCAAUAACCUGGGUAUAGAGAAAGGUAUUUACACAUUUUGUGUGACCACCGUAGAAACAAUGAAUUUAUUUCUUCUGUGAGCAUGCAAAUUUGCUUGUUUUAUUCAUUGACAUGUUCUUCAAAUUGUCUAUAUAAUUAAAACAGAAAAUUGCUUUCUGGUCAGUCUACUCGUACAUUAGUUAGCACUUAGCACGCAGGUUAUCUAGCUCUAGACUUCUAUCUGAUGUUUGCUUCAUCUAUCCUGCAGAAUGUAACUACAGAAAUGGAAAGUGGGUUUCUGACAAUCGUAGACCUCUAUACUCGGGGUUUGGCUGUAAACAAUGGCUUUCAGAGAGCUGGUCCUGCAGAUUAACCCAGCGCAUAGAUUUUGAAUAUGAAAAUUUUAGAUGGCAGCCAGAGGCCUCUAAGUUCUUGACAGAUCAAUCUCAUGUCUAACAGAUCCUGAUAGGACAGGACUCAAAUGACCACAAGCACACAAUCUUAAGCUAAAAAAAGAGGCUGAAGAGGCACGCAAUAUCAAUCUCAUAACAUAUAUAUCAUUUUGGGUCACCAAGGCAGGAGUAUUUUACUCACCAAGGCAGUGAGUAAAAUGGAUAGCUGCCGAGCUCCUCCUCCUCCCGUCCCUGUGCUUCCCUUCCCUCAGAUCUGUCUACAGCCUCUAAAAAAGAACAAAUCGAGUCAAGGGUUAGGGUUAGGAGAGAAAUUGCUGUGUAUGUCGACGAGGAAGAGAGGGAGGGAGAGGGGGAAGGAGCACCGGCUCACCGCGUGGCGUGUGGUCGCCGGCGAGAAGCUGCUUGCGCGGAGGAGCGGCACGGGCGGCGCACUCUGUGCCGGCUCUGGAGAUCCUUCUCAGGAAGUGGAGGGGGUCGACGGAGGAGGGGGCAGCGGAGGAGGGGGCCGGCGGAGGAAGUGGAGGAGGGGGCGGCGGAGAAGUGGAGGAGGGGGCGGCGGAGGAACGGGGGCGGAGGCGAGCGGGUGGAACGGGGUGCGGGCGGGCUGGCUGGGGGCGGCGGCGGCGGCGCGGAUUCAGGGGUGGCGGAGGAGGGGCUGGCGGAGGGGGCGCCGGAGGAGGAGGCGGCGGCGCGGGAGGUGGCGGCGCGGAGUCGGGGGCGGCGGCACAGGGGCGAGUCGGGAGGCGUCGGGAGCAGGCGAGUGGGGGAGAGGAGUCGGGGGGAAUCAGUUUCCUGAUAUUUUGCUCGGAAUGUGGGGAAGGGAAGAUGGAAUCCUCAGGAAUCCCUCUUUCCAAUUCCGGGAGCAGCCAAACAAGAUGACUUUGGAAAUUAAUUCCAAUUCCAGCCAAUUCCAAUAAAACAAACAGGUCCUAAUUCUUUUUUGACUAAUAAUUUUGAUAAGACGGUGUUGGUUGGCAACGGAAACUAAAGUUGUAUUUAUAUGAAAAAUGGAAAUUAAAGGAGUAUUUGUAUACCAAAAAAGAAACGAUAGGAGUAUUUUUAUAUUAAAAAAUGGAAUUAAAGUUUCUUAUCGGAGGCUAUGUCAAUACAUGUUAACUGCACUAUAGCACAACUCCCAUGCAAUGUGUUAUUGGAGGAGGUAAAUUGACCACUAAACCCGCAUCCAUCGGAGGUAAAUUGACCACUAAACCCGCAUCCAUCGGCGUGCCAAAAUUUUGGCAGCAAACUAAGCAGGCUCAUGAUAUAGGAGAAACUUCGGUACAACUAAUGGCUUAGAAAAAAAAUAGUGGGAUCCACGGUGGUCCACAAAUGAAGCUUCUUGUCUUCCCACUAAACUCAGGGUUAUGAGCUGUAUUAACAUAUGGCAAGCAAGCAUGGAAUAUAAUAAAGAGACCAUACAGAUCAUGCUCCGAUUUCAACUUUCAACUGGACAGCAAGCUCGCGCAUAACCUUCAUACAAAGUGACUAGCAAUUUUAUCAUUUUAGAUUCUUCUCCAGGAAUCAUGCCGUGUUCUUCCAAUACUUCAAAAGGAAACCCUUCUUUUUAGGGCAUUCAAAAGGAAACCCUUGUGGCCGCUAUGUACACGAAGUAGCCACAGGGCACAGAAGUUUUCAGACACAAGUUUCAGUUAACAACCACAGUGAUUUUUGGUCAGAGCAAGGAUCUGUAUCACAUUGAACUAUUUUCUGCAGUACACUUUGUACUUGUUACAACCAUCAUGAAUGAAUAAAUCAUGCUUUAAUAGACCCUAUCUCAUCUCUUUACCCAACUGCAAUCGAUCCAAAACAUAUACACACAACUAUAUGCAACUACCUUAUCAGCUCCAUUUUGAUGUGCUAUUUUGGUACACUCUAGAGGUACAACAGAAGUGAACAAUGGUGUGUGCUCAAGAGUCAAGACGACUGCACGAUAGGUUGAUCUCCAAACGGCCCAUGCAGCCAACCUCUGGCGAUGUGUCCAUAUGCCGCCUCUGUCAAGUGAAUACCAUCCCAGCUCCAGUGCGUCUUAGGAUCGGCACAUGCUGAGGCACCAGGCUCACCGCAUUUUGCUGUUAGAUUGAAGUUGUAAGGGCCCCUGCCGGGAGCACCACAGCAUGCUCUUGGUAGUUGUUUGUAAAACCCUGCAUUAAGAGCAGAAUUAUUAGUUUCUUAAUUCACUUGGGAUACAAUCAUGGCAAUCACUUGAUGUAACUACAUAUCCUGGUUCUAAAUGCAGUACUAUACCGAAGCAUCUUCUUCCUUAUCUGCUGGCCACACAAAAUCUACAAAGGGGGAAAAAGGAUGGACACACAACUGUUGUGCCAAUCAUACGGAGAUGAUAAGGAUGGACGAAUUUGUACCCAUCUCUAGUGUCCAGAUAAAAUUAAACCAAUGCAUAACAUGGAAGAUUCUCAUUCUGACACAGAUGUCUCACCAAUAUGAUCCCAUGCUUUAAACUUAUCGUCAAAUAUGAGCCCAUGCUUUUCUAUUAACUCAGAAUGUUGCUCAGAAAUUUCUGGAGAAAAGUGAGCCAACAAGAUGCUAAACCUCAAUGAGUGGCUAAUAGAGUAGGAAUAAACGAAGACAUGUGAAACAAACCAAGAUACGAAACAUAUAUGUCAGUCACAGAGAUGGGUCCAGCUAGCUAUGUUAGUUACUAGUGUUUGUACUUCUUGUGACAAGGACUUCAAGAAAAGUGUUUUUCAGACAUGUUCAGAAAGUAAGAGAGACCAGUUGGUCCCAGGGUUAAGUAAACACCAAUUUUUGCAAGUAAUGGAGCCAAUAUGUUGCCUUGAAUACUUAUCUUUUUUUGCCGGUUGAAACUUCCAAUUCAUUAGUAAAAGUAAUAUCCCCAACUACAAGUAUAUGUAUAUAUCUUUACAUCUCUUCAGUUUUCUUGACAAUCAUUUUAAGUUUCUUUUGCUGAUAGUAUCGAAGCAACAUAAACCUUUCAGUAUAUCUUUAGUUUUCAGAUGGGUUUGUAACAUAAGGCUUAAUAACUAAUUGCUCUGGAAGAGGAUAAGAGAUGCUACAAGAUAACUUAAGUUGUUUACCAUCUUUUAACUUUGUAUGUUGUAAAGUGUCAUCUGUCAUAUCUUUGACUCACGGAAGAUUUAAGGAACUCCACCUGAGGAGACUGAACCUACAUCUAGAUCUGAAUUAUCUUGAAAUAGUGUAUUGCAUCUAACUAGAACGCAAGGGCAAUAGUUUGACUCUGCCCUAUGAAGUUGAAUUAAGUAAUGUUAGGCCACGCUAGACCUGUCCUUGACAAUUAAAACUAAAAAGCUUAUCCUUAGCCAUAUAGGACUGCUAUCAGUUCCCCACUGACUGAACCGACCAUAUCAAACAAUCGACAUUAUUAAUGAUAGAAUUGUAGCGCAAAUAAGCAACUGAGGAUCUCACCAAACUUCUCUGGCUGAAGUAUGAACUGGAUGACUGGCGUGAAGUAAUCACCAUACAUGAUCCUCACUCCAGGAUGCUUGGCACGGAGCUUCUCCAGAGCGCGCUUGAGCAUCGCAUUGUGCACCCACGAGAAUGUGUUGAAUCGUUUGAGGCAGCCGGUACGCGAGCCAUGCCCUUCCUUUGGGUCAGUGUACAUGGUCAGGUACACUGGAAAGCACCCCGACGGCAUCACUCCAGGCACAAUCAAAUCCUUUGCCCCUUCGGCAAUCAAUUGCUGUGGAGCACAUACAAAGAAUCAAUUGGGGAUCAAUCCACAAUAAGCACGACGAAUAACAGCGGUGACGCAAUUCUUACUUCAACUCCAUCGGAGAUACCCUGAACCACAUGGGGCAUCAGCUUGUAGGCCUCCUUGAGAUCCUUGCCAGCGAACAGGGGCGCGUUGUAGUCAUUUCCGCCAAAUUCACCGACGAUGAACAAACACUUGGCAAAGAAAUCCUUGCAUUCUUAGGGACGAAGAAAAGGAGCAAAAAGAAAAAAACAGAGAGAAAGCAACAUCAACAUCCAUUAGACGGAAAUGAAUUUACUUUAAGAAAGGUAAAGAUUCGGCGGUGGCUUUUCCAUUCGUGGCUUUACCUUGGGCGGAGUUGCAGAGCGAGGGCUUGAGGUCGCGCAGCCACUGGAUUUGUGUGAAGAGUGAGCCGGAGUUCCAGACGGUCUUGCCGAGCCCGCGCUUCUGGAAGAAUUCGGUGUCAAGCGCGGUGGCGCCGGUGAUGGCGAAGUUGGCGCCCCGCGCGAAGCUGGCGUUCUUGGCCUUGGACGGCGGCAGGAACGGGAGGCCGAGCUCUUGCGCUGCGGGAGAGCAGAGAAGCCAAAACCCAUCGAAUUCAGAACAGAGCCACUUCGCCAAGGACGCGAAGAAAAGAACCUCCAGCAAUUGGCGGAAUUUACCGAUGAAAUCGACGACGAGGCGGCCGUCGGAGCACCGUCCGGUGGGGUACCCGAAGUAGGUCUGGCCGUAGGGCAGGCGCGCGGUGGCGAGGUAGUCCGGGAUGCCGUCGGUGACGAGGUUGCCGGCGUCCACCAGCGAGUCCCCGAAAUUGAACACCGCGCGGUACCUCCCGCGGGCCUCCGCCGCCGCCACGAGAAGCGGCAGCACCGCAAGAACCGCGCAAGCCCACCUCGCCGUCGCCGCCGCUCCGCCGCCUCCCGCCAUGGCCGAGCCCGAACCCGCCCCCCGGAAUUAGCGCGAGGAGAAGGAGAAGGGCGGUUUGGCUUUGGCCUGGCUUGGGUUUCCUGGCUCGGCGGGCUCGUGAACUGGGUGCCGGCUGGGGCUACCCGUGGCGCUUGUCCGGUUGCCCCUUUUGUAGGCCAGGUAGCCGCUGUGACUGCGAGUGGGCGACGAGCCAGACGGCUGCGGACUGUGGAGUUCGGGUGGGGGAGCUUGGAUUCUUACUGCCUGCGCCCACCACCCCCACCGCGGCUGCGUGCCUGCGCGUGAUGAGUGGUGGCACGGCUGGAGCCGGCCGGAGGGACGUGUGCAAAGGAAACGGGGAACAGGAACAGAUACAGUGGGGUUGUGCGGACGGGGACGGCGACGCGGACGCGGGCGGUGCAUUGACUGCGGCCGUGGCCAGUGGCCUGGCGGGCGGUAUUGAAUGUGGCUAGCAGGCUAGGACGGCGGGGGAGGGGAGGUGGUAAAUGGCGGCCGAGGCGGCGUGCAAACGUGUUCGUGCUUCCGUCGCCGAUUCGGGAGAGAUCGCCGCACUUGGGCACGGAGGCAGCAGCUGUACCCGGUGCUCUUGGUUCGGCAUCGCAACUUGCAAGGUCAUGUCGUCGCGUUAGCGAUGAUGGAUGCGUCGCCGUCUUGGCCAACUGGCGUCCAGCGGUCAUGCGUGAGCAACCGUUUCAACUAGUGGCAGCGCUAUAGAUGAUGCAGAAACGUGACAUGCAUUUGAGUAUUCGCUGAACCCCUAACAAAAUUUGGUUUGGUUAUACAUCAUUCCAUAUUUUCGCUUGGUCUUGAAUAAAUCUUAGGAAAAGUUAUGUCACCCAAGUGCUUUGUGACUGGCGGUCACUUGAAUUUAGUGGCUCGUCUGAUCUCUUUUAUUUUUUUGGCGAUGAGAGCCCCAGUGCUAUGCUUUUGUUCUCGGUCUAUGACAUGUGGGUCCGUGUGUCAGCUAGCACUGCUUGUAUUUUGGGAGUGGCGCCGUUAUCUCUCUCUUCCUAGUCUCUUCCGCUUCGGUUUCAUUUCUUUCGCCUUUUCCACUGCUCGCUCCGCUUCGGUUUCAUUUCUUUCGCCUUUUCCACAGCUCGCUCCUGAGCUGCGGCGAUGCGAGGCGGUGCUAGAGCGUGUUCCAGUCGCCCUGACGAGUUUCUCCUCAUUCGAUUGAUUUAAAUCCAAUAGAUGCGGUGCUUGAGCGUGUUGUUCUCUUGGUGAUUACUUGUUUGGUCGAUCCCCUCUUCCUCUGUUCAAAUUUUUGCCAUCCUAUCACGUUGAACAUUCCGUGUUGUAUAUUUCGAUUCGCUCUAUGGUUCGCGGCGCCUUUGGUUAGUUAAUCAUCAUCAUUUUGCUUUGGAUCCAUUACAUCCGGGUGUUUGAUUAAUUGCUUGAGUCCCUUCGUACCCAAUUCUAUGACAUUUGCCCAUCCAGUGCACGUAUGGUUGGUGAGAUGUACAUGUGGUUUUGAUUCAUUUUGCCUCGAUUAUUAUGUUGCGAAUAAUCUUUGUUUCUAUUUGAUUUUGCCCUCCGCUUUUUGUUGUGGCGGAAUCGUCCAAAUUAACUUGGCUAAAGUAUACUUAAGCCGCUUAAUACGCAUGCAUGUACUUUAAACAAAUCAAUUUAGUCGUCCGUCGGAUUUCAUCCGAUUAACUAAAUAUCUCAGGAUCGAGAAAGCAAGACUCGCACGAAGGUGAGUGGUUACAGAUAUUACAACAGUCCAUCUUAAUUAAACAAGUGCAUCAAAUUAUUACAACCUCAAGUUCGAAAUUCAAGCAAAGUUUGCAGAGUUCUCAAAUAACAGAAAUAACUGAGCGAAAGCUAAACGUAGUUGCAGGAUAUCAUGACAAAACCGAUCAUGACAUCAAUAAUCCCGGUCCUCGCCAUCCAAGGAGGGAUCCCACUCAACCGUCCAACUAAUAAGAGGAAGUUGGGGAGGCUAAGUGCCACUUGCAGCGAGCUCGGGGUAUCAACAUCACCUGAAAAGAUGUGCCACAACAAGGCUAAGCGACUACGCUCAACAAGACUUAACCGACCGGUGGUACUACUCCACCAACACCUAGACAUGCAAGCUCUUUGAUUGAGGGUUUGUUUUUGCCAAAAACAGCUAGAGUUAGUCCUUACUUUCAACUUUUUAGCCACAAGUUCUAAAUUCAUUAACCAGUCUAGAUUUGCAUCCUAUACUAAGCAAGCAUAGUUUCAAACAAUUAAUUGACAAACAUCAACAUUUAUAUCAUCACCAAGUUCCAUCUUUACUCAGUGCAGCAUAGGGAUCAAGUAGUCCCAAAUUAUGAGAGGCAGACGAAUCGAUUCGAAUUUAUUAACCAUGCAUGGCGAACCUAAUCCCACGACAUCCGCGCACCGCGAAGGUUCGCUUCAUUUGUCAGUCGUCCCCAUCAAUUCCAAGACCCGUGUCGGGCCCACUUUCCUUGGUACAAGGCUCCAUAGAUCCGGCCUCUGCCGUUCUAUGACCGCACUUGUCACCACAUGCGGCCGCAAGGGAACUCCAUUCUAGAGACAAUGGAACGAUCCGCUCACGUUCCAGUUCAAUCAGGUACUAGGCUUCCCCAUCCCAUACUAGGUAUGAGAUUAGUACUUUCAACACUUGAUCACGAACACUAUCACAUCUCGACCUUAGUCCAAUUUCAUGUAGACAGAUGGGGCAAUCCACCGACCACCAAAAUAGUUCACAGAGCCCUGCCCCAUCCAUCGUCCUUACAGUUGUAACAAAAGGAAAACAAACAACUCCUAUAACUUGCGAGUGACAGUCAAUCACUUGACUUUUACCGAGUCCUAUUAAGCAUUGCACUACUCGGCCUAUCAUACUAGUGUUCAAAUCAAAAUGGUACUAAGUUCAUGCAUCUACGGUUUCAAUCAACUCCUGGAAUGUAAAUGCACAAUAAGCAAUCAAUUAUAUUGCAAGUAAUUAAAGAUAGAAAAUCAUGCUCCGGGGCUUACCUUCACGCGGGGAGUUAGCGAACUGGUCCUCAGCUUGAUCCGGUACGGGCUCGGCUCCGACUUGAUGCAAAUCCGCUACGGCUCCUUCUUCUGACGCUGGGUGAAGCUCGUAUGUCACGUCAGCAAGGUUCAGCUCUACACGAAAUGCAAAUGCAUCAAGUUCAACUUCUGUGCUUUCUCAUAUAGGAUGCAAAGCAUGAAUUAGCACUGAAGUAUAAAUUACAUCAUGACCACAUUCACCUAAACAAAGUUCUACACCUUCUUUAUCUGCAUAAGGUAAGGUGUGUUAUGGUGUAAACCCGGAGUUGACUUGAUGGUGAUUGUGUACAUAUAUACAACUUAACUUUAUUAAACUUUAGAUUGGAAAGUUAUCUUAUUUCUGAAUGUUCUUUUGUACCUCUUUCGAAAAAGACUAUUACCUUUACUUAAGGUUCUUUCUUCCAUUUAAUUUGGUUCAUCUUCCAAAUUUUAUUUCUAUUAUCAACAGCAAGUUACGGAGUUGAAACUUUACCAGCAACUUAACCUUGUCAUGAAUAAGCUACUGCACAAAUUGGAGGCUUACUAGAGUUGCACAAAAAUAAUUAAAAUGAUUUCAUUAUGAUAAGGCAGUGUAUGCUUAACUAUUUUUAAGACAUAAACCAUAACGAAUUUGGGUAUGAAAGUUUAACAGUAGGUUCCAGAGGUGAAAUAGAGCCUUUGGUGAAUUUUUCAUAAUUUUUAGUGAACGGCGUCUUUUUCCAUACAUUUACCCUAUUAUUCUUCCCCCAAAAAGGAAAUUGGUUUUCCUUCUGCUUCUGAUCAGGUUCUAUAUUUUUUCUACAAACUACACUACACCACUGACUUAUUCCAAUUUAUUUCAUAUUUUUUAUCAUUUUUGGUUAAAUUAUUAUGCAAAAAGACAAAAGCCACCUUAGAUUUCCAUGAUAAAAAUAAAAUAGAGAUUUAAACAUUUGAGCUAGGCUCCACAUCAUUAUUGUAAGCUUCCAUUCUCUGAAACAAGCACUUGAGAGUUGGAUUUACCAUUUUAGCAUUUUCCUGCAAUUUAUUAUGAUUUAAAUGGCUUAAACAAGGAUUAAAACAUAUAACAUCAAUCCUAGCAGAGACAUGUGCCAAAAGUAUUUUUGUUAGAAACUACACUUUAUACUGAGUCUAGCAAAAUUGGUUUGACAUUUUUCUGAAUUUUCUACGAGUUUUGGUGAAUUUCCAAAGUUAAACACAUUUUCUACAAAUUAUAAAACAAAAACCGAGGUAAACUUGUGAUCUAGCCCCUGGGUCUAAAGGUUAAUUGCGUAGGGGUCCCUGAAUUUAGCACUAAGGUCCCUGGAAGAAGGGAAAAGACAUAAGUGUGCCCUUGGCGGCGCACCCGGUGGCAGUCCGGCCAAAUUCCGACGAUGCACCGGCCAAUCCCGGGAAAGUUUUUGCGGGGAAGGCGGAGGAGCUCACCGGAAGUUGAUUGGCGGUGGUUGGGAGCGCAAAGAAGGUUGGGCGGGGGCGGAACGGCGGCGGACUACGAGCGGCAGGGACGGCGUCAGGUGGCGGGGGUUCCGACGGCGUCGGGGCUUGGAGGCGGCGACGGGCGAGCGCCUGAGCUUUGCGAGGUGGCGGUGAAGCUAGUGGUGGUGUCGGCGAGGUGCGGGGCGGUGCGGAAGGGGGAGCUCCACAGAGAGGGUGUGCAGUGGAGCGGAGAGUGAGAGCAAGGGAGCUUCGGCGAGUGGCAAGGGCGAGCGGGGAAGGCGGGCACGGGUGGCGCUGGCGGAGGCUUUAUAGCCGUGCAAGACGUGCGGCUGGCCGGUAGGCCGGAGGGGCACGGCGUGUGCUGCUGCGGCCAUUAAUGGUGGCGGCACCAUUGGCGGACAGGGGGGUGACCGGCGAGGUGCGGCAGGCAAGGUGACAGGCUCGGGGCGAAGUGAGCGUGCGCGCGAGAAACGGCUUUGCCAGGGUAUCGGGUUGGCGAGGCGGAGUCCAAGGCGUCGCGGCCGGGGUGGCGGUUGGCGGAGGCGGCGGCGUCGAGGCGGAGCGGACGGGAGCAGGGUCGGGGGACCGCGACGCUUACUGGCGGCGGGGCGCGCGAGGCGGCGUCCUGCCGGGCUGGAGAUCGGGCGAGAGGGCUUCAUCGGUGAAGCCGCGCCACGUGGUGGCAGCGCUCUGGAGCGUGCAGCGCGCGUGCUCUGGGCCGAGGGAUUUGCAGGAUUGCCUCGCUGGGCUGAUCUUCAAGCGCAAUUACUCCAGAUUUUUGAACUGCGCGACCUUAACUCCCUUUACAAAAGUUGUAGUCCUCAUAUCCAAGUUCAACCUUUGUAAUGGAACCAAGUUCAAAUUCGCAGUAGAUUUGAAGAUACAAAGCUUGAAAGUUCAGAGGAACGCCAGAUUUCCAGACUUAGGCAAAAACGGUAGUUUGGCUGAUUUCAGGGUUUUUGGCUGACUUGAGCCCCAAUUUUGAAAAGCUUCUGAUGUGAAUUUGACCAGAGUCCAAUUGAGGAAGUUGUUGUAUAAACUUAUUUUUCAAACUCUUAUAAAGGGUUUUGCUGGCAUGCUUUUUAAGUUUCACGAGAUAAGCUUAAGUCAAGAUGCAUGGUUGAACUGCUUCCAAACUUAGCCUAGAUUGCUGAUUGAGGCUGGGUUGACCAAGGUUUUGGAAGCCUUCUGUGCGGAUUUCGACCUUACUCCUUUAGUCAAUGUUGUUAAGGGCUUGAAGCUCUAAAGCUUUUGUAUAGAGUUCAGCUUGAGUUUAUUUUGGAAAAUUCUAGAUAAAGAGCUCCAAGUUUGGGGCUUUAUCUGUUUUUCUUAUAUUGACACAGUUUUGAACUUUGAGUUUUUGAAGAUCUUCUGCUCAGAUUCAAGCAUAACACCAAAACUAAAAGUUGUUAGGAAAGUUGAUUUCUACAACUCUUAGUUGGAUAGAGUUUUAAGUUCUUAAGCAAAAAUUUGAGUUAUGUUUUAAACAGUUUUUUAUCUUGUGAGGAUAAAAGUGUCUUUUUACUUGUCUUCAGAACUGUCAAUUGUUCUUCUUUAUGCUCAAAUGACUUUACUUAAGAUUAAACAUGGUUUAAUUGGGCUAGGUUGUUACAGCUGUCCCCGUGCGGGGGGUUAUUUUGUGCUGCGAUUCCCAUUGCGGAUCGAUUGGAUUGGAUUCUGAGCAAACUUGCCGUGAAACCCAUAGGUGAAUUGACAACUACAACAUCGAAUCCAUUAGAUGGCGGGGGUUUGAUUUGUUGACUGUGGUUUGCAUUUUUGGUUCAGUUGUUUGGUUGUGUGCUUCCGUUGUUCACAUGGUCGCGGAGGGGUUGGGGUUGGCUGAUUGAUUGAUUGCUCCGCUUUGUUGUUUAUUAAUUUGGCUCAUGUCUAGUGUGUGUGCUUGCUGUAUAAGGUUUGUAGUUUUGCUAUUAGAUUUAUAACUUGUUGUCAUAUUUUUAGGUUGGGGAUUGUGUCUAUGUGAUGAUUUCCAACUUAGGGUGAAAUGUUAGUUGCAAGCCUAUAGGAAUCAGUAUGAUUUGUUUUACUUUGCUUUUGACUAACUUGUAGUUGCUAUUAGACAUUAUCAGGUUUCUGGUGAUUUCUCUGUCUACUAUAUUUUGAUGUAGUGACUAUUUUAGUUCAUUCAAUUUUCUGCUUUUCAAAAUGUGCAUUAAGGUAUAUAGUUUUUCUUGCAAAAGGGUUAUAUGGUUUACUAGCUCUGACUGUUUGUAUAUAUUAAUUUAGAUUGUGGCUCUAGCAUUAUUGAAGUCAUUAAGUUAGUAUGCAUUUGCUCUCUGAUAUUUCCAAUUACAUGUCCAAAUGUAAUUCCUAGCUAGGUGUUUUGUUUAAAUGGUGUUCUAUGCAAAGAAUGUCUAAUCUUACUGUUUUUCAUUUCAGAUGGCCUGGAAAUGCUCUUCUCUUGUUAAUUUAUCCAGUGGUGAAUCCGAAGACCCUGAUUAUGAGGAUGUACAAUGUUCACAAUUACCAAACAUUGAUUCUGAUACGCCCUUUCCCUCUUCUGAUAAUGAAAUUCAAUCUGAUAUAAGUAUGAUGUUUGUAUGUUGUCCAAUGUUGUUUAAUAUUCAUUUUUUGCAUUUUAUUCUCAAAAGUUUUUGAGUGCUUAUUGUGAUAUGCUCUGUUUUACUCUGUCCAUGUCAUUUUCAUGUUGAAAUGAAAUUGUCAUCUUCAUUUGAUAACACUGAAGAAUUUAACCAAGCACUCUUUGAGCUAGUUAUGAGAGAUGUAUGGUAACUCCAUUAUUUUUCAUAUACCUAUUCUGAAUUGUACCUUGCCUUAAUUUAAUUUAAUUGAUCACAUCUCUUGUAUACAAAAAUAAAUCUUUUUUCCUCAGUUCAAGCUUAUAAAUAUGUUGAAGCGUAAGUUAUCAUUGUCAACAAAGCAUAAGGUUAGAGUUGUAUCCUGGUUAUUAUUCCUUUUUAACAACAUUUUUUUGGGAUAUGCAUGUUUGGACUCUGUAUAAUGUCAUUUCUACCUACCUUGAUAUAAAUUAGUUGGGCUCUAAGUAAUGGACAGUAUCAUUAUUUUGUUAUUGCAGUGGUUGGUCACAUGUAGCAUAUAACUGAAUGAUAAUAAAUACUCUUUUAUAGUUUAUAUAUUUACACCGAUCUAUUUUUUUUUGACAAUUCUAUAUUAUAACUGGCUUUCUCCUUUCAAAUCCAUAUAGUUUUAUAUUUUUUAAAAUUAAACACAGUAAUUAGUUUUAUUGAGUUGAGUAUAUCAGUUUUUAUACCUUCACAACUAAUUUUUUUAUAUGCAGCCACACUCUCAAUUCAUUCUAUUUGCUAUUUUAAUUUAUAGUCUAAAAGAGCUAAACUCAUUAAGAAGUCGGAUGAUGGAUUCACCAGAUUCCCUGCUACUGCCUUUUCAAAUGUCAUUGCUUCUCUAUCACCUCAUCAAAGAUCUUUUGUUGAAGGUUAUGGUUUUGGUUCACUUCUUCAGCUCAGAAAGUGCUAUGCUCCUAAGAAAUUUGCUACCUGCAUUGCACACCUUGUUGAUUCAAAAUCUGGUGAUAUUGUUCUUCAUGGAAAGGUUAUAUCACUUACCAAGGAGUCUGUUAACCUAGUCGUGGGCUUUCCUCUUGGUCCAAAACCAUUCCCAACUGAUUCCAGUGUAGGCAAGGCUGUUUGCUGUCAAAAUUUGGCAAGGAGGAUCUCCCUCAAGUUACCUACUUUGUCAAUAAAAUUAUCAAAUAGGUUGCAAUGUCUAAUGAAGAUGUAUUUAUCUGCUUUAUGGUUAUUAUUGCUCUUAGUAGCUUCCUAUGCUCCAAUUCAUCAUUGACUCCUAGCCCAAAGUAUUUUGGUAUCUUUGAAGAUAUUAACAAUGCCAAGGACUAUGAUAUCCCUCGAAUAUUAGUUUGGAAAGAAGAAAUGAUCAAAUUUUACUUAGAUCUUGAUAUGAAAGCUCCUGGUGUGUCUAUGGAUAUAGACCUGUUCUUGAUUAUGAAGACACUUGCUAUGCUUAGGUUUGGACAUCUUUCAUUAUGUAUAUUAAAAUUAUAUUAUCUUAUUCAUAUUUGCUUAAUCAAUACUCUUCUAUGCUUUUUUAUGCUCUUUACUUGAGUAUUUAUUUUACUUGUAGUUUCAUAUGUACAAGCAUGUCGAACUUGUUGUUUCAAUGGAAGCUAAUUUCUGUGAAAGAAUGGAAGAAGUUUCUGGUUGUAAGCUACCUUACAGUUUGAAGGUCAAUAUAUCAAAGUUGAUUGAAAACAUUGUUGCAAGUCUAAUUUGUCUAUUAACAUGGAUGUCACUUCACUAUCCCAUAUUCCUGAUGAUCUGAAGAGAAUAUUUACAAAACUAAUUAUGCAUACACUUCACAUGGAUGUGACUUGCCAAAUCACAUGAGUGAUGACAGCUGUAACUCCCAAGUGUUGGAAAAGAUUUAAAGAAGGUCACUAAAAAGGUUAAUGAAGAAAUUUGGCUUAAAAAGAGGUAUAAUGAGCUACGUUCAAAUUUGAGCUAAAUUUGACCAAAAAUUCAAAUAAAUGAUUCAAAUUUGGAAAAAAAUGAUAAAAUUGGGAAACAGGAGUUUAAAGUACUUAGAAUUCAAUGGAAUCAAGUUUGAGAGUAAAUGCAAGUCAUAAGGACCUCAAAUGCAUAGUCAAAUUUGUUGACUUGGGGCAAACUAUUCAAAAUCAGAAAAUACUGAGUCUAGGAACUGAGUCAAGUGACCAACUUUGGACUUGGUUUCUAAGGAAUUUCAUAUUAAAACCUUGGAUCUUUUUGGACCCUAAGUGAUUUUGGGUAUCCAGUAAAUCAAUUGGACAUGUUGUUGGACAGAGAAAAGAAGGAAUUCAAAUUGUUCUUGGAGCUCAAAGUUUGAAAGAUGGACUAUUUUUUAGUUUAACUGUCAAACUGGCUAAUGCCAAUGAACACUAAAAUCAGUGUUUUUGGCUAACUUUGGUUCAAGAUUUAAAAGAGGUUUACAUGAGAAUGUUGGACAAGGUCAUGCAAAAUGGGAUGUAUGAUCUAUGUUUAACAAAUGUCAGUAGCACUUGACAAGGAAAACUGAGUUUGGAUAUUUUAAUUGACGUCCAAAGUUUGAAAGUUCACACUGUUUGGAACUUAACACAAACUGAAUGGCAUAAGCCAUUAAGCUUUAGGGUUCAGAAUUCUGGUCUAAUUUCGGAGGCUUGAUUCAAGUAAAUGGUUGAUCAAAUGCUCAACGUCCAAAUCAAUUGGUCGUAGCCGAUGGAAUCAUCUACAAGUUUGCCUACAAGUUUGCUUAAAGGGCUUAGUCAAGUUUGGAUUGGAAAUUUGGAGAAAAAAAGGAUGGAAAUCAGGUGGAAAUUGGAAGGAAAAGAGGGGAGAGUAGAGGUGGUGCUGCCACGCAGCUACUUGCCAGCACGCCGCCGCCUUUUCCCUUGUUUGGCCGCCAAGCCACUGCCUUCCUUGUCAUCCACGUCUCCUCCGCAUCGCGCUCACGCCACCAAGCCACCGCCAGCACUGCUACCGCCUAAACAGUAAGAUAAAUACCGAGCCACCACCGCGUUUCUCUCUUUUCCCCAUCCAAGAAUAGAGCUGUGCCUCGCACCUAAUUCCUUGAGCACCGUCACCUCUUGAUCAAAUUCCUCACGCCCACGGCUCUGCCACAAACCCAUCCACGUUCCACGCGCUCCAAUUCCACAACUCCCCACCAGUGAGGUCACCCUCGUCAAUCUUCCCGUCCGCCGGCCACCAUAGCCACCCUCAUGGUGAGCACCAUGCUAGAGCUCCUAUCUGUCUAAGAUGUUGGCUCAGGUCGCUUGCAUAAGUGCCACUGCAGCUCUUGAGCGAGUCACUGGCCGGAGCACCGCUAUCAUCGUUGCUCGCUCCGGCGGUCACGGCCGUGUCCGCCGCCACCGUCGAGUGCCCUUGUACAGCUCACCGCCCGAGACAAGAACACUACCAGUAGAUGCGUGCUGCCCUAGGGAACCUACCUGGGCUAGGUCUUGUCACUGGCGAACUCACCGGUGAUGAGCUUUCCGCCGUACCCGCUUGGGCACCCGUGGCCAAAGUGGGGUUGUGGCCUGGUUGACCAGGCCGUGUGACAGUGAGAGAGGGUUGGGGGAGGAGUGUAGCUCUAGGAGUUCCAGGGGGUUUUCGGGAUAAACAGAUUUAGGUGUUUUAGGAUUAGUUUUUAAAUUUAGUUUCCUUGUUUAAUUCACCAUAAUUUAUAGAAAUGUCCAAAAAUAGUGAAACCAAUUUUUUUAGGUUUUUUAUUUUUCUUUAUGCAUUAAAAUUCUUAAACCCUAGGAAAAAUAAUAAAAAUUAGGUGUCUAUUUAUUUGCCUUAUUUUAAGGUAUUUAAAUAAAUACGUAAUAUUCUAAGAAUCAAUAAAAUUCUGAAUAAUGAUUUAUUAAUUAAAAAUCAAUAAUAAAAAUAAUUAGGAAUUACAUUUUUGAGAUUAGUAAUUAUUUAAUAAUCCUUUUUAUAACAAAUUAAAAUAUUUAAGGUUAGUUUAAAGUUAAGGAAAUUUGUGGGGUAGUCUUUUUCAAGGGUAAGUAUUGGCUUGCAACUUUAUCAUGAAGAUAAGUUGUAUAGCCUCUUUUAUCAAAAAGCUUUGCAUAUUCUAACUAUGACUUGCUUCAUAUCGUAGAACCUGAAGCUCCUGAAGUGGAUUUUGUGGAAUUAUCUGAAGAACCACGGGAGUUCGAGGAAGUCAUUUUAGGUGCUCCUGAAGUGGAAAGGUCUGUCGAAGAAACUAACUUUGUUGUAUCCCAAGGCAAGCCCUCGAGCAUCUAAGCCUAUUAUUUUAAGACUUCAUAUUUCAUGUGUCCAAAUUAUUUGUUAUUUCUCUACUUAUGCGUUAUGUCUAGGAGUUGAUUGAAACCCUUUUAUGCACAGUCCAACCUUGUUAUAGAACAUCUUUGCCACCUCUUCAAAAUAUUCAGUUAUAUCCUACGCUUAGCAUUGCUUAGACUUGCAACAUUCAUGAGUAACUCUUAUUGCUCAGCAACCUACGGUAAUAUGCUUCGUACACUUUUAAAUCAAGGAAUGGUCUGGUUUUGAAAGGUGUAGACGGAAGGUUGGAUGGGACAAAGAAAGGAGUCUUUAGUUCCGUAGUUCCGUCUAUUGUGAUUAAUUCGGUUAAGGCCCGUUCAUUGUCUUAACUUUUUAUCAAGUGAUUUUACCUGGUUGCUUACUACCAUUGGGAACCAGCAAGCCCGGUAGGUUAGUUGGCUCUUAGGGUGGAAAUAUCUUUACCCCACUUUGCGUGGGUGUAUGGCGGGGACGUAGCCUGAAACUCACAUGGUGAUCAGGCUAGACGUGGGGUCUCAUAUGGAGGUGCGUUCCCAGGUCUGGGUAAUAAUAUUUCCAGUCUUUAGGUACGACUAAUCGAAAGGUCGUUAUGUGCAACCCAUGCAGUUCUGCAUGGCUGGUGAUUAGGUAUCUCCAACAGGAUGUAAAAUCGAUCUAGAUCGCCGCAAUUUUUGGUUAUGAAUACACUUCAUCAUCGCUUAAGCAUCGUAGAAGUAACAAGUUGAAUAUGAUGUGUUUCCUUGAAUUAAUAUUGUUGUAUGAUGAUUAGUACCACUUGUUUGAGCAAAAUGAUUUAUUCACCUAGACUAGUUAAGUAAGAAUUAAAUUGUGUUAAAUUAAUAAAACUAAGGAUCCACAAGUAGUAAGCUUUUCGCAAAAUGUUGAGUUAGCUAGUCCAAAAAAGCUUUCAUACUCCUUGAGGUCUUAGUUAUUUUAUAUUGGUUAGACGGGUCAGUUUUGCUGCGUACCUUCGUACUCAGGGGAUCCUUUUAUUUGUUUUUUAAAGUGCAGCAGCAGUAUGCGAAAGUGGAGAACUCGAAGAACUAGGGCAUUUAUGGGUCUCAAAAUGUCCUAGAAUUAGACCUUAGAUGUAUAAUUACUUUAUAACUACUUUAUAACAGGACUAUCCCUGGCCUAUAUUAAAGAUUGAAACUUUUUAGAAUGGUUUAACUUGCACUUAAGUUUGUUUUAAUCUAGUUUUUGUAAUAAUUUGUAUAAUUUAUGUAAAAGGUAACGUUUGUUGGUGCUUUCCCAUUGUGGAAGCGAUCCUGAUGUAUGGCUAAGAUUCAAGUUGUAAGUGGAUGAUUCGGGUUGUCCCGGGGACACUUGACGAAUUGCUGGAUUUAAACUGUUUUAAGUGCGUUGAUGAAGUAAUUAGGCGCACUUAAGCCAGUUUAAAUUAGUCGGUUCCGCCACAUCAGCCCUCAAAUCACCCGAGGGAUGGAUAUACAGACCCUAAAUCUUUUAACCUAAGAGCCUAUUAGAACUAAUUUGUUCAGAUCUCUGAGAUUGGGAACAUUCAUUUGAAUAUUUGCUGAACCCCUAACAAAAUCUUUUAAAACAUUCAUGCUACCCAUAUGCCAGUUUGCCGGAUGAAUUUUCCCAUACCCCUCAACAUCCCUCCGAAGAUAGUUUGUCAUAUGUGAAUUAAUUAAAUCUAGGGCCUGCUUAGGAACUUUGAAAAAAAGACUAGCAGGACAAGUCUCGAUCAAAACCAAUGUAAGGCUAGAGACCUUCUCUUUUUUAAUUUUCCCCCUAGAGCCAACACUUCUUUCCAAAUUUUAUAAAUUAAAGCUUAAGAUCUUCUCUUUUAUAACUUUUGGGAAUGUAAGGAUACACCAAGAUAUUUCAUAGAGAAAUUGUCAACGGGUAAGGACGGAUCCAGCGGUGGGGCGGGCGGGGCUCAAGCCCCCCUACCGCCGUUCGAAAGAGCCCCUGCUCAGGCCCCUCCGCCCCUCCCCCCCCCUCCCUCCUCCGAACUUUUAGGAAGAAGGAAGAAGAAGAGAAGGGAGGGAAGGAAGAGGAAGAAUAGGGAGCUCCUCCUAAACUUACGGGCUGGAUCCGCCACUGCCAACUGGACUCCGAAAAACUACUAUUCUAUUGUCUCAUGUUCAUCUAAAUUCGUAGGGAUCAGUUUGCUUUUAUGAUAGUUACCAUGCAUUCCAGGCAUUAAUCAAUACAAGUAAAAAUCCACUUCAUGUUUCCAGCAUGCUCCGAAGAUUUAUCCAAGAAGAGGAUGGUGCCAUCAGCGUAAUGCAAUUUCACCACCUUAGCCCUUUAAUCAGAUUAUCGCUAGCUGCUUUGUUGAGCAUCCUAGUUAACACAUCAAAAGAAUCUGUGAGGGUGUUUUUUCUUUCUUUCUUUCAUUAUCAUGUGUUAUUUCCUAGAUAGAGAGGCACACAUAUGUGGCCCUGUCAUUUCCUUAAAACCCAUUUUAUAUUUGUAUAGGCCUGGGCGUUAACGUUAAAGGACUAGUUUCAGGCAAAAACAAAGUUAACUCGGCCCGUCGUCAUCAUGAUGUGUGCUAGUUUUGCGCCUGUCCUAUCCUCUUCGUUAAUGUGGCUAAUAUGGACUCCAGCAGGCCACAAUCCAAUCAAGGCCGAGCUAGCAUGCCUCCCUCGGUGACCAUAUUCUCUGAAAAAAGAUCCGGCCCAGCUUUAUACUUUAGCGGACCAUGCUUUGGUGAGAAUUGGUGACCAUAUUCCGAGCCUGUAAUUAUUAUGGGCUGAGAGAUUAUGCGGUUGCAUAAUUAGGAACACUUCAAAGUUCAAAUGUUGGUUAUAUAAGGCGUUAUGCUAAUUCAGACAGAUCAAAGUUUCUUUUAUGAAUUUUAUUCAGUUUAAGAAAAACUUGUGGGGUCAAUCUGGACCAUUCCUUUUGGAUCCAGCACAUUCCCUCGUGAACUCCGCCGGUCCAUUGUUCCAAAAAAGGGCGUUCUGACCCUGACUCUGGCAGUUUCCUAUGCCUGCAAAUGUGAAUGAUCCAACAUCAGUCCAAACUGCCACCAAAUGCAGACAUCGGUUAUCUUGUCCUUUAACUCCCGCCAUAAAAGUAUUCGGAUGAAUGGCGGCUGUUUGGCCACCAUGAACUGGACAAAAUUUUCCCAUGGCUUCCGUGGGCAAUUGGGCAAGAAGUUCUUGCACUCCUAUCCAGAGAAAAUCUUGGUACAAUUGGGUUGUUGCAAAUCCGUUCAGAUUUUGGGUAGUUUGAUUGCGUCUGUUGCCUGCAAUGCAGGACUGGUGUUUAAAAUAGGUCCAUUUCAUCAAUUAUUCAGAUCCAGCAACCGCACUGAGUUGUUCAGACAGCAAUUAAGCAGCCAUCGCAAUCAUACAGUUUUUGGUAUUUGUCACCCAUCCACAUCAAGCCAGGGCAUUCUGUCUUCUGAAGAUUUGUUACUAUACUCUCUUUCUCAUCCAAGGAUAAUUGCCUUCUGUUUACUAUGACUGAAUGGUCAGUGCAAGGCUAAACCUGCACACAUAAUAUGCAGAUUGAACUUUACAUUAUCACCUGAAAAGAAAAUACACAAAUGCAUCUAUUUUGUGAUUCUUACGAAUUAUUGCCUUAGUUUUGAUAAAUGAAAAUCCAUGGAUAAUUGUCUUCUGUUUACCAUGGCUGAGUGGUCAGUGUAAGACUAAAUCUGGACGGAAAAUGUAGUUCGAAGUUUAUGCCAUCACCAGGAAAAAAGAGAUACACAAACGUAUUUAUUUUGUGAUUAUCAUGGAUUAUUGCCAUAGCUUUGACAAAUAAAAAGAAUCUGAAAAGUCAUGCAUGGUGCAUCUGUACUACAGCCAUUUCAGUUGGGAACAUAUCUAUACCAGCACUGUUUAUACAAAUCUUCAAAUGAACAGAAGCUUUACCCAUAACUUAAUUAUGACUUC
RNAcentral lists this long non-coding RNA (24103 nucleotides) under Setaria viridis. RNAcentral's name for it is "long non-coding RNA (SVIR_LNC004754)". The record is from RNAcentral. Lineage: Eukaryota; Viridiplantae; Streptophyta; Magnoliopsida; Poales; Poaceae.